AAGCAGGAGCUUGCUCUUGUGGAUCAGUGGCGAACGGGUGAGUAACACGUGAGCAACCUGCCCCUGACUCUGGGAUAAGCGCUGGAAACGGCGUCUAAUACUGGAUAUGUGACGUGACCGCAUGGUCUGCGUUUGGAAAGAUUUUUCGGUUGGGGAUGGGCUCGCGGCCUAUCAGCUUGUUGGUGAGGUAAUGGCUCACCAAGGCGUCGACGGGUAGCCGGCCUGAGAGGGUGACCGGCCACACUGGGACUGAGACACGGCCCAGACUCCUACGGGAGGCAGCAGUGGGGAAUAUUGCACAAUGGGCGAAAGCCUGAUGCAGCAACGCCGCGUGAGGGAUGACGGCCUUCGGGUUGUAAACCUCUUUUAGCAGGGAAGAAGCGAAAGUGACGGUACCUGCAGAAAAAGCGCCGGCUAACUACGUGCCAGCAGCCGCGGUAAUACGUAGGGCGCAAGCGUUAUCCGGAAUUAUUGGGCGUAAAGAGCUCGUAGGCGGUUUGUCGCGUCUGCUGUGAAAUCCCGAGGCUCAACCUCGGGCCUGCAGUGGGUACGGGCAGACUAGAGUGCGGUAGGGGAGAUUGGAAUUCCUGGUGUAGCGGUGGAAUGCGCAGAUAUCAGGAGGAACACCGAUGGCGAAGGCAGAUCUCUGGGCCGUAACUGACGCUGAGGAGCGAAAGGGUGGGGAGCAAACAGGCUUAGAUACCCUGGUAGUCCACCCCGUAAACGUUGGGAACUAGUUGUGGGGUCCAUUCCACGGAUUCCGUGACGCAGCUAACGCAUUAAGUUCCCCGCCUGGGGAGUACGGCCGCAAGGCUAAAACUCAAAGGAAUUGACGGGGACCCGCACAAGCGGCGGAGCAUGCGGAUUAAUUCGAUGCAACGCGAAGAACCUUACCAAGGCUUGACAUAUACGAGAACGGGCCAGAAAUGGUCAACUCUUUGGACACUCGUAAACAGGUGGUGCAUGGUUGUCGUCAGCUCGUGUCGUGAGAUGUUGGGUUAAGUCCCGCAACGAGCGCAACCCUCGUUCUAUGUUGCCAGCACGUAAUGGUGGGAACUCAUGGGAUACUGCCGGGGUCAACUCGGAGGAAGGUGGGGAUGACGUCAAAUCAUCAUGCCCCUUAUGUCUUGGGCUUCACGCAUGCUACAAUGGCCGGUACAAAGGGCUGCAAUACCGUGAGGUGGAGCGAAUCCCAAAAAGCCGGUCCCAGUUCGGAUUGAGGUCUGCAACUCGACCUCAUGAAGUCGGAGUCGCUAGUAAUCGCAGAUCAGCAACGCUGCGGUGAAUACGUUCCCGGGUCUUGUACACACCGCCCGUCAAGUCAUGAAAGUCGGUAACACCUGAAGCCGGUGGCCUAACCCUUG
RNAcentral lists this ribosomal RNA (1364 nucleotides) under bacterium. Its description in RNAcentral is "bacterial SSU rRNA". It matches the Rfam family "Bacterial small subunit ribosomal RNA", at positions 70 to 1444 of the family's 1533-position model. The record is from RNAcentral.